Culex pipiens pallens (northern house mosquito) is the source of this 1108-nucleotide long non-coding RNA. RefSeq lists it as uncharacterized. The transcript has 3 exons. NCBI's taxonomy places the organism in Eukaryota, Metazoa, Arthropoda, Insecta, Diptera, Culicidae. The record is from RefSeq and is a predicted model, not a curated record.
CAAACGGUUUUCCGCCUGACGGGUUCAUUCCGCUUCGAAUUCCGCUUCGAAAAUUGUUUCGAAGUUUUCUAAACGGAAUCUCCGGUUGGACUCCGCUUCGAUUCCGUUUAAUCAUUUUUGCACUAGGGCGACACCUACUGGUGUGCGGUGGAACCUCGAUGACAUUUCGCCGCGAUUCGCCAAAGCGGUUUUGGGUCUCGUCACAACUCAGGACGGUGAAGGAUCCGGGCAUUCCGGGUUAAUUUUGGUCCGUUUCUUGCGUAAAAAUGGUUCCCUUUUCAGUGGUCCUUCGCCCAAAAUCCUCUUGUUUGCAUGGUUGCACUUUUUCUUUUCUCCAGCUGGAGGAGGAAGGCGACGCGGACUUUUUUUUGGGGCUGAAUUAUUGCUGCUGAUUCUUAGGAGAGAGCUGCCCCCAGUACGCCCCAGUAGGACGAAAAGGAAACUACUUCCAGUUGAUUUAGAAUCGGCGAGUGUCCGGUAGCUGGUGGCGGCCACUGCCUUACAGGAAUAAGGCCACGCUCCAGAUUUUUACUAUAUCAAUCGUCAAAUCCGAUAGCGUUGGAUCGCCAGCACCACGAUGACCACCACCGCAGUCGGUUGAUGGCAAGGUCGCGAUGAUCAGGCCGUUGCUGGGAAACCUGCUGCAGAACGAGAGCGCCAGUACACAUAAGUCCGGCAGCUGAAGAACCAAAACCCAGCGGAUCCAAGAUCCGGAAAAGGACCAGCUGCCUGAUGCAAACCAAAUAGCGAAACUCCGCGGAACGACUAGAUUCUGCCAGCCAAAAAGAAUGGAAUGUCGAAAUUGAAGGUCGUGGAGCUGCGGGAGAAGGCCGAUCGGUCAACUCGCGGUUGCCUCAAUGAGCGAGGUCGAAUGGAGGUGGUGCAGAUGACGAAGAUUGGAGCCGAUGAUUGUGACCCGGUUCUGCGAGUGGGUGGUGACUCCGGAAUGUAACCGAGACGGUAGAAAAGAUCGCAUCACUUUGGUCACUACUUUUAUUGUAAAAUCUUUUAUAUGAGAUUAAAACUAACUAUGGGAUUUAUGUGGUUUGGGGCUUUGUUUUCAUUGUUUGCAUUUUAAAUAAAAAAUUUUAAACCUUAAAAACACUCA